CCAGACUCCUACGGGAGGCAGCAGUGAGGAAUAUUGGUCAAUGGCCGAGAGGCUGAACCAGCCAAGUCGCGUGAGGGAAGACGGCCCUACGGGUUGUAAACCUCUUUUGUCGGGGAGCAAAGCGAACCACGUGUGGUUCAUUGAGAGUACCCGAAGAAAAAGCAUCGGCUAACUCCGUGCCAGCAGCCGCGGUAAUACGUAGGGGGCAAGCGUUAUCCGGAAUUACUGGGUGUAAAGGGAGCGUAGACGGUGAUGUAAGUCUGGAGUGAAAGGCGGGGGCCCAACCCCCGGACUGCUCUGGAAACUAUGUGACUGGAGUGCAGGAGAGGUGAGCGGAAUUCCUAGUGUAGCGGUGAAAUGCGUAGAUAUUAGGAGGAACACCAGUGGCGAAGGCGGCUCACUGGACUGUAACUGACGUUGAGGCUCGAAAGCGUGGGGAGCAAACAGGAUUAGAUACCCUAGUAG
RNAcentral lists this ribosomal RNA (465 nucleotides) under uncultured bacterium. RNAcentral's name for it is "bacterial SSU rRNA". It matches the Rfam family "Bacterial small subunit ribosomal RNA", at positions 331 to 793 of the family's 1533-position model. The record is from RNAcentral.